Long non-coding RNA from Panicum virgatum (switchgrass), 1421 nucleotides. RefSeq lists it as uncharacterized. Lineage: Eukaryota; Viridiplantae; Streptophyta; Magnoliopsida; Poales; Poaceae. The record is from RefSeq and is a predicted model, not a curated record. The transcript is spliced from 4 exons.
GAUUCCGUCAGCAGCGACUUCUCGCUCCGAAUCCGUCGCGACGGCUUCUUGCGGACUUUUUUUUGUCUUCCUCUGCUUCUGCUCCUCAGUCGUACACUGAAAUAUCUUCCCAGCUUCUUUCCUCUCCCCCUCUGUGCACGACUCCGGCCGAUCCCUCCGCCUCCCUUUCUUUCCCCUACCUCCAGUGGGGGCUCCGCCCAAACCCGCCGCCCCCUUCGCGUCGCCCUGAACCAGCGAUGCGCGGUCCCGGGCGCCAUGGCCUCCCCAGCACGGGCGGCACCGGGUACCACGGCGGCACCACCGCCCCAGUACGGCCGAUGCCGGCCGCCCCGGCGGUGCGGCCGCGCUAGCACGAGCAGCCCCGUGGGCCCUGCGGGAGCCCUUGCAAGGGCGCCGCCAGGCCACCCUACGGCGCCACCGCUCCGGCACGGGCCAAGCCAGUGGCCGUAGCACGGGCGCCCCCCUGCGCGUCGGCCUCAACGACCGGCCCUGCCUGGUCGUGUCUUCCUCUUCCCCGGCUACUGCUCCGCUCGGUAGGUGGCCUUUGCCAAGGCGCGUCACCUCAGCGACCGGAUCUGGUGAGACCUCACCCUCUUCUUCUCCUCCUCUAUUCCAUAGCUGCUCCCCCAGGUCCUCCAUCCCUCCGCGUUCGCCUUCGUGCAGGUGAGUGGCCGCUGCGGCAGCAUGUGCUACCUCCCCUCUACACGCCGGUCGCAUCCACCGCCUCCGUGGCUGCCGUUUUCGCCGUUGGUCUUCCUCUUCACCUCCGCCAACCCCCGUGCUUUGCGUUUUCAAUUCCCCUACGAACGGUAAGGCCCCAGCAAGCUAGGCUUAGCGGUGCCGAGGGAGGUCUAGCAGUUCCAUCUCCACCAUGGAUUCUUUGAUCAGGACUAAUAUUUUUCAGCACACGGCUAAAUAGAGUUAAGGCUUCAAGAGUCUUCUCUCCUUUCUUGAUUGCUGUCCACAUCUUCUUUGCCUUCCAUUCCAUAAGACAUGGAGUACUAUCACUUUCAUGGUGUUUUUUUUUGGCAGAAUCUGUGUUCCAAUCACCCACGAACUGCACUUCGCAGGUCAGGUAGCACAGAAAAAAAACAGAGAGGCAGCAUAGGACCUGAAGAGAAUUGAAAACUGAAGCCCAUGUUGAGAUCAUUGCCACAAUUGGGUGGCACUCCAUGUAGCAGACUAUCAACCUUGGAGCAAAACAUUAUGCCUGAACACCACAUAGUACCAGGAGAGGCACUGCAGUUGAGAUCAAUAUGGUGGAUCUGUUGAUUACGUCAGCUGUAUUCUUCUCUAUUCUUUUCGAAUGGUUGGAUUGUGGAUGUGUUGUUGCAAAUGCAUGUAUUUUAUUGGUGCCCUUUGUGUUGUUUCCUCCUGUUGAGAUUCGAUAAGCACUUCCUUGGCUAAAUCAUCUUGCUCUC